This 439-nucleotide RNase P RNA is filed under the name Rhodoferax saidenbachensis. RNAcentral's name for it is "Bacterial RNase P class A". It matches the Rfam family "Bacterial RNase P class A". Rfam says of the family: Ribonuclease P (RNase P) is a ubiquitous endoribonuclease, found in archaea, bacteria and eukarya as well as chloroplasts and mitochondria. Its best characterised activity is the generation of mature 5'-ends of tRNAs by cleaving the 5'-leader elements of precursor-tRNAs. The record is from Rfam by way of RNAcentral. Lineage: Bacteria; Pseudomonadati; Pseudomonadota; Betaproteobacteria; Burkholderiales; Comamonadaceae.
GAAGCCCGCCAGACCACCGCUGGUGCAAUCUGGGAAACCAGGCACUGGAGGAACGUCCGGACUGCACAGGGCAGCGUAGCAGUUAACGACUGUCCACUGACAAGCUUUCCACGCAAGUGGUGGGCCCUAAGGUGAGGAUUAGAGCAACAGAGACGAGUCAAUGUAGGCAUCCCGUCGGGUGUUCUACGCGUACAGCGCGGCGCAAGCCGUGCCCCGGGCAACCGGGAACGCGUAGCCACCCAAUGCGGGCAAGGCCCGCAUUGGGUGAAACGGGCAAUCUCUACGCGCAGCAAUACCAAGUAGGCACACGUUGACGGGGCCCCCGGAGUGUGCGGGUAGGUAGCACCGAGCCGCUGGGUGACCAGCGGCCCAGAUUAAUGGUGGUCACAUGCGGGGAAACCCGCAUGCACAGAAUCCGGCUUAUCGGUGGGCUUCACAC